UACGAAGGGUGCAAGCGUUGUUCGGAAUUACUGGGCGUAAAGCGCGCGUAGGCGGAAUCAUAAGUUAGAAGUGAAAUCCCGAGGCUCAACCUCGGAACUGCUUUUAAUACUGUGAUUCUUGAAUAUGUGAGGGGUCAGUGGAAUUCCUAGUGUAGAGGUGAAAUUCGUAGAUAUUAGGAAGAACACCAGUGGCGAAGGCGACUCACUGGAUCAAUACUGACGCUGAGGUGCGAAAGCGUGGGGAGCAAACAGG
This 253-nucleotide ribosomal RNA is filed under the name uncultured bacterium. Its description in RNAcentral is "partial 16S ribosomal RNA". It matches the Rfam family "Bacterial small subunit ribosomal RNA", at positions 524 to 776 of the family's 1533-position model. The record is from RNAcentral.